AGCUUUGCACAGUGGCAGUAUCGUAGCCAAUGAGGUUUAUCUGAGGAGCAAUUAUUGCUAAUUGAAAACUUGUUCUUAUACUA
Molecule: small nuclear RNA, 83 nt
Organism: Chinchilla lanigera (long-tailed chinchilla)
Lineage: Eukaryota; Metazoa; Chordata; Mammalia; Rodentia; Chinchillidae
Gene: U4
Rfam family: U4 spliceosomal RNA
About the family: U4 small nuclear RNA (U4 snRNA) is a component of the major U2-dependent spliceosome. The structure of U4 snRNA from yeast and human has been reported. U4 snRNA presents a k-turn RNA motif in the 5p-SL related to recognition of Snu13 protein.
Source: Ensembl